Molecule: ribosomal RNA, 253 nt
Filed under: uncultured bacterium
Lineage: Bacteria
Description: partial 16S ribosomal RNA
Rfam family: Bacterial small subunit ribosomal RNA
Source: RNAcentral
UACGUAGGGUGCAAGCGUUAAUCGGAAUUGCUGGGCGUAAAGCGUGCGCAGGCGGGUCUAUAAGACAGAUGGGAAAUCCCCGGGCUCAACCUGGGAACUGCAUUUGUGACUGUAGAGCUGGAGUGCGGCAGAGGGGGAUGGAAUUCCGCGUGUAGCAGUGAAAUGCGUAGAUAUGCGGAGGAACACCGAUGGCGAAGGCAAUCCCCUGGGCCUGCACUGACGCUCAUGCACGAAAGCGUGGGGAGCAAACAGG